This 249-nucleotide ribosomal RNA is filed under the name uncultured Smithella sp. Its description in RNAcentral is "partial 16S ribosomal RNA". It matches the Rfam family "Bacterial small subunit ribosomal RNA", at positions 1133 to 1382 of the family's 1533-position model. Lineage: Bacteria; Pseudomonadati; Thermodesulfobacteriota; Syntrophia; Syntrophales; Smithellaceae. The record is from RNAcentral.
GGGCACUUUAGAGAGACUGCCGGUGUUAAGCCGGAGGAAGGUGGGAUGACGUCAAGUCCUCAUGGCCUUUAUGUCUAGGGCUACACACGUGCUACAAUGGGUGGUACAAAGAGCAGCUAACUCGCGAGAGUAUGCAAAUCUCAAAAAGCCAUCCUCAGUUCGGAUUGGAGUCUGCAACUCGACUCCAUGAAGUUGGAAUCGCUAGUAAUCGCGGAUCAGCAUGCCGCGGUGAAUACGUUCCCGGGCCUU